Choloepus didactylus (southern two-toed sloth) is the source of this 1971-nucleotide long non-coding RNA. RefSeq lists it as uncharacterized. The transcript has 3 exons. The record is from RefSeq and is a predicted model, not a curated record. Lineage: Eukaryota; Metazoa; Chordata; Mammalia; Pilosa; Megalonychidae.
UCCUCUCUAGCUCCGAGCCCUUCUCUCCGGCUGCGGCCCCGCCCCGAGCCUCCCCGCGAUUGGCUGCCCGGCCCGCGGCCUCCUCCCGCCUCCUGCGCCCUGCACCAUCCCGGCACCGCGCCGCCCUCCGGGUCUCUGUGUCGCGCACCCGCCGGCCUGUUUUUCCUGCGGAGCUGGGCGGGCGCACUCGCAGCUACUUUGUGGUAGGCUCGGGGCCCGGCCCUGCCCGCGACAAGAGCCGGUCGGGAGCCGACUUUGGGCCUCGGGCGUCUCCCGGAGCGUCUGCGGCGGUGCAGCGGCCUUAGUUCGGAGCGCAGGUCAAAGACUGCAGGUAAGAGCCAUUCAAGCUGGGAUGACCAGAAGCUGGUAUUUUUAACUGAUGUAAACCAACUAUCACUCUACAAUUACAAAUAGGAAAGUGCCUCUAAUGAGGUUCCAUAUUCUGACAUAACUUGUAGCAUCUGUGUGCCUGUGAAACCACAAUAGGAGGUAAGCAGUAGGAUAGUGCUGAUGGUGACAGGAUAGUGCAGUGGGUGCUUUGUGUGCACCUUUUUAAUUUUCACAACUUGUAACUUCUUGACUGUUUGACUUCCAGAAAGUCACUUAUUAUCUCUUAAGACUUGCUAUCAUGGUGUAACUAAAAAAAAAAAAUGUAAACAGAUUGAGCAAAGUUGGGGAGAGCACCAUAAUGCUAAGAAUGUAUGCUCCUUAUAUAUUCAAUUGCAUUAGGCCUAGAGAAGUUUUACAAACCUUGUUACAAAGGAAAUAUCUCUGACAGCAUGUUAGGUGUUUUUGAUGUGUACAGCAUGAUGAAGUGUAAAAUAAGGAUAAUAAAGGACACAAUAGAUUCUUAGAAUAUGGAAGUUUUAGAGGUAUUUGGGAAAGUUUUCAUAGGGGAAGGAACUUUGCAUUCUAGCAAUAUGCAGUAGCUCAAUAAAUGCUAGAACAAGCUUAUUCCUGUCAAUCAGCUCUGAAUGUCUGGCAACUGGAACUUUGACAUUGGCCUGUAAUAGCCUGACAAUUAACCUCAUCUUCCAUAUGUGUUAAAUAAAGGUAUUUAAUAAACACACCUUGUAGUCAUUCUUAAUACUUACAACUUUUGCACUAACCUUUCUAUACUUGAUUUCUUUCUAUGCCUCAUUACUUUACAGUCCAGCCACAAAGGAAUUUGUUUAGUUAAUUUAGUCAAGUAUUUGAGACACUCCUGACUCAGACACUGCUAGAUGCCAGAUGAGGUAGUAAAAAAAGACAGUUUAACAUUCUAUUAGGGAAAAAUGACCAUAACAUAAGUAAAAUGUUGGGUGGCCAUGACUGUUAGAGAAAAUAAAGGGGAGACAGGAAGUAUAUGUGUAUGCAUUGAGAGUAGAAGACAUUUAUAAUUUUAGAUAGGGCUGGUGUGAAAAGGACUUAAGAAGUCCUGGAGGAACUGAGGGAGAGGUCAUACCUAUAUAUAUUGGGAAGAGCACUGGAAAAGCAAGUGCAAAGGCCCUGAGGUACAGAUGUGUUUAAAGGUUUACGGGAAAAGCAAAAGAGCCCAGUGAAGCAGCAGAGACCUGAGCUUAGGGGGAAGAAGAGUCUGCAUAUGCAGGGGUGGGGCAGAUGUUUUAUUAGACCAUUGUAAAAUGGCAACUUGCUUUCUGGCCCUCCCAGGCCUCUGAAUGCAGUAACACUACCUGGAACACUCCCUACCCAUACACUUUCCAAUUCUUCCCUAAUUUCUCUGAACUUUUUGACCUCUCCCCAUCCCCAUGUAAGUGCUCUUGAUCCUGGAUUUUUGUAGAAUGCUCUAAUGACAUUAGCAUCUACAACUUCACAUUUUGCGUUUGCAUGUAUUGCUCAUUGCCCCUGGCCUAACAUUCUCCAAGCUCUGCAAUAUUAGAGAUAAAGUCCAUUUUGUAUCCCACCAUAUUCCUAAGGUCUAGCAAGUGCCUGGUAGCUUCUCAAUUAUUUGAGUCCUAAAGCCAUCAUGAC